GCGGACGAAGCAUUUUAGUGUGUAAACCCCUUUCGACCCGGACGAAUGCCUCGCAAGAGGAGUGACGGUACGGGUAUAAGAAGCCCCGGCUAACUACGUGCCAGCAGCCGCGGUAAGACGUAGGGGGCCAGCGUUGUUCGGAAUUACUGGGUGUAAAGGGUUCGUAGGCGGUGUGGCAAGUUGGGAGUGAAAUCUCUGGGCUCAACCCAGAGGCUGCUUCCAAAACUGCUGUGCUUGAGUGUGGGAGAGGCGCGUGGAAUUGCAGGUGUAGCGGUGAAAUGCGUAGAUAUCUGCAGGAACACCCGUGGCGAAAGCGGCGCGCUGGACCACAACUGACGCUGAGGAACGAAAGCUAGGGGAGCAAACAGGAUUAGAUACCCUGGUAGUCCUAGCCCUAAACGAUCAGGACUUGGGGUGCCGCACGUUCGUGCGUCGUCCCGGAGCUAACGCGUUAAGUCCUGCACCUGGGGAGUACGGUCGCAAGACUGAAACUCAAAGGAAUUGACG
RNAcentral lists this ribosomal RNA (507 nucleotides) under uncultured Acidobacteriota bacterium. RNAcentral describes it as "SSU rRNA". It matches the Rfam family "Bacterial small subunit ribosomal RNA", at positions 404 to 915 of the family's 1533-position model. Lineage: Bacteria; Pseudomonadati; Acidobacteriota. The record is from RNAcentral.